UAUAACUACCUACUAAGGCAGAAAGCUAUA
RNAcentral lists this non-coding RNA (30 nucleotides) under Rattus norvegicus (Norway rat). Lineage: Eukaryota; Metazoa; Chordata; Mammalia; Rodentia; Muridae. The record is from RNAcentral.